This 70-nucleotide transfer RNA is filed under the name Hemidactylus fasciatus (banded leaf-toed gecko). RNAcentral's name for it is "tRNA-Trp". Lineage: Eukaryota; Metazoa; Chordata; Lepidosauria; Squamata; Gekkonidae. The record is from RNAcentral.
AGAAAUUUAGGCUAACAAAACCAAGAGCCUUCAAAGCCCUAAAUAAGAGUGACCACCCUCCUAAUUUCUG